RNAcentral lists this transfer RNA (74 nucleotides) under Desulfobacter postgatei 2ac9. It matches the Rfam family "tRNA". Rfam says of the family: Transfer RNA (tRNA) molecules are approximately 80 nucleotides in length. Their secondary structure includes four short double-helical elements and three loops (D, anti-codon, and T loops). Lineage: Bacteria; Pseudomonadati; Thermodesulfobacteriota; Desulfobacteria; Desulfobacterales; Desulfobacteraceae. The record is from Rfam by way of RNAcentral.
GGGCCUGUAGCUCAGUUGGUUAGAGCGCACGCCUGAUAAGCGUGAGGUCGGUGGUUUAAAUCCACCCAGGCCCA